UACGGAGGGGGCAAGCGUUGUUCGGAGUUACUGGGCGUAAAGCGCGCGUAGGCGGUGCGGUAAGUCAGGGGUUAAAGGCUGCAGCUCAACUCCGGAAAGGCCUAUGAUACUGUCUGGCUUGAGGGCCGGAGAGGCUGGCGGAAUUCCCGGUGUAGGGGUGAAAUGCGUAGAGAUCAGGAGGAACACCGAUGGCGAAGGCAGCCCCCUGGGCCUGUACUGACGCUCAUGCACGAAAGCGUGGGUAGCAAACAGG
This 253-nucleotide ribosomal RNA is filed under the name uncultured microorganism. RNAcentral's name for it is "partial 16S ribosomal RNA". It matches the Rfam family "Bacterial small subunit ribosomal RNA", at positions 524 to 776 of the family's 1533-position model. The record is from RNAcentral.